AUUGAACGCUGGCGGCAGGCCUAACACAUGCAAGUCGAGCGAGCGGCGGACGGGUGAGUAAUGUCUGGGAAACUGCCUGAUGGAGGGGGAUAACUACUGGAAACGGUAGCUAAUACCGCAUACCAUCAGAUGUGCCCAGAUGGGAUUGGCUGGUAGGUGGGGUAACGGCGAACCGAGGCGACGAUCCCUAGCUGGUCUGAGAGGAUGACCAGCCACACUGGAACUGAGACACGGUCCAUACUCCUACGGGAGGCAGCAGGGGGGAAUAUUGCACAAUGGGCGCAAUCCUGAUGCAGCCAUGCCGCGUGUGUGAAGAAGGCCUUCGGGUUGUAAAGCACUUUCAGCGGGGAGGCGUUACCCGCAGAAGAAGCACCGGCUAACUCCGUGCCAGCCGCCGCGGUAAUAC
Molecule: ribosomal RNA, 406 nt
Filed under: uncultured bacterium
Lineage: Bacteria
Description: partial 16S ribosomal RNA
Rfam family: Bacterial small subunit ribosomal RNA
Source: RNAcentral